This 213-nucleotide ribosomal RNA is filed under the name Triticum aestivum (bread wheat). RNAcentral describes it as "partial small subunit ribosomal RNA". The record is from RNAcentral. Lineage: Eukaryota; Viridiplantae; Streptophyta; Magnoliopsida; Poales; Poaceae.
AUGAUGGAUGUUGCAGGUUCAUUGAUGACAGCCAAGGGUUCAUGCUCGGAAACGACUACAUCUUGCUCCAUGUUGUCGGCUCAGCUAAAGUCCUUAAUCAUGAGGAGAUGGGACACAUCGAUUGUUAGAGUACACUUGACAGGUGCAUUUUGUGAAAUUCUAGUCAAAAGAUUGAUAUCAUGCUUGCCUGCUUGUUCUUUUCAGUUCAAAUAA